This 76-nucleotide transfer RNA is filed under the name Tumebacillus amylolyticus. RNAcentral's name for it is "tRNA-Ala". It matches the Rfam family "tRNA". Rfam says of the family: Transfer RNA (tRNA) molecules are approximately 80 nucleotides in length. Their secondary structure includes four short double-helical elements and three loops (D, anti-codon, and T loops). The record is from RNAcentral. Lineage: Bacteria; Bacillati; Bacillota; Bacilli; Caryophanales; Alicyclobacillaceae.
GGGGGAUUAGCUCAGUUGGUAGAGCACCUGCCUUGCAAGCAGGGGGUCAGCGGUUCGAAUCCGCUAUUCUCCACCA